This is a non-coding RNA of Pristionchus pacificus, 86 nucleotides long. Lineage: Eukaryota; Metazoa; Nematoda; Chromadorea; Rhabditida; Neodiplogasteridae. The record is from Rfam.
CUAGUCUGCCUACUUCCCGUCUACUCCUUUCGUCAUUCGUUGAUACGAAUACGAAUGACAAUCGAGUGGGUGAGAAGGAAGACUUG